AUGGAUUGGUCAGUGCUGCCGGCUGGUGUCAAGUUUGAUCCCAUGGAUGAGGAGAUGAUCGAGCACCUUGAGGUCAAAGUGAGUGCUGACAGCGCGAGAUCUCACCCUCUCAUUGAUUUGUUCAUACCAACCAUCGAUAGCGAGCACGGCAUAUGCUACACCCAUCCUGAGAAACUUCAAGCGCAAUUCCAAGGCAUUCAAAAGGGGCACAUGGAUGCAUCGCAAGAUACAGUCGGAGUGCGGCAUGCACGCGAUGUAGCACAAGACCGGCAAUACCUUGCCGGUGAUGGUCAAUGGCCGGCAGACGGGCAGCAAAAAGGUUCUGGUGCUGCACACCAACAAGAACUUCAACCACUAGAGGACCAACUGGGUGAUGUACCAGUACCAUCUCAGGGACAUGGAGCAAGAGAAGGAGCGGGAGCUGGUCCUCUGCAAGAUUUUCUACCAGACGAACACUAG
Molecule: ribosomal RNA, 459 nt
Filed under: Triticum aestivum (bread wheat)
Lineage: Eukaryota; Viridiplantae; Streptophyta; Magnoliopsida; Poales; Poaceae
Description: partial small subunit ribosomal RNA
Source: RNAcentral